AGGACGAACGCUGGCGGCGUGCUUAACACAUGCAAGUCGAACGAGGCCCUACCUUCGGGUAGGUGACCUAGUGGCGAACGGGUGAGUAACACGUGGGCAACCUACCCUCAGCUCUGGGAUAACCCCGGGAAACCGGAGCUAAUACCGGAUAUGACCUUGAGUGACAUCGCUCUUGGUGGAAAGUUUUUCGGCUGAGGAUGGGCCCGCGGCCUAUCAGCUUGUUGGUGGGGUAAUGGCCCACCAAGGCGACGACGGGUA
This 258-nucleotide ribosomal RNA is filed under the name uncultured bacterium. RNAcentral's name for it is "partial small subunit ribosomal RNA". It matches the Rfam family "Bacterial small subunit ribosomal RNA", at positions 26 to 285 of the family's 1533-position model. The record is from RNAcentral.